GUCGAGCGGAUGACGGGAGCUUGCUCCUUGAUUCAGCGGCGGACGGGUGAGUAAUGCCUAGGAAUCUGCCUGGUAGUGGGGGACAACGUUUCGAAAGGAACGCUAAUACCGCAUACGUCCUACGGGAGAAAGCAGGGGACCUUCGGGCCUUGCGCUAUCAGAUGAGCCUAGGUCGGAUUAGCUAGUUGGUGGGGUAAUGGCUCACCAAGGCGACGAUCCGUAACUGGUCUGAGAGGAUGAUCAGUCACACUGGAACUGAGACACGGUCCAGACUCCUACGGGAGGCAGCAGUGGGGAAUAUUGGACAAUGGGCGAAAGCCUGAUCCAGCCAUGCCGCGUGUGUGAAGAAGGUCUUCGGAUUGUAAAGCACUUUAAGUUGGGAGGAAGGGCAGUAAGUUAAUACCUUGCUGUUUUGACGUUACCGACAGAAUAAGCACCGGCUAACUCUGUGCCAGCAGCCGCGGUAAUACAGAGGGUGCAAGCGUUAAUCGGAAUUACUGGGCGUAAAGCGCGCGUAGGUGGUUUGUUAAGUUGGAUGUGAAAGCCCCGGGCUCAACCUGGGAACUGCAUCCAAAACUGGCAAGCUAGAGUACGGUAGAGGGUGGUGGAAUUUCCUGUGUAGCGGUGAAAUGCGUAGAUAUAGGAAGGAACACCAGUGGCGAAGGCGACCACCUGGACUGAUACUGACACUGAGGUGCGAAA
RNAcentral lists this ribosomal RNA (702 nucleotides) under Pseudomonas putida. Its description in RNAcentral is "bacterial SSU rRNA". It matches the Rfam family "Bacterial small subunit ribosomal RNA", at positions 61 to 758 of the family's 1533-position model. Lineage: Bacteria; Pseudomonadati; Pseudomonadota; Gammaproteobacteria; Pseudomonadales; Pseudomonadaceae. The record is from RNAcentral.